UCUAGCCUGCCCAGUGACAAGAUUAAACGGCCGCGGUACCCUAACCGUGCGAAGGUAGCAUAAUCACUUGUUCUUUAAAUGAGGACUAGUAUCAAUGGCAUCACGAGGAUCUUACUGUCUCCCCGCUCCAAUCAGUGAAACUGAUCUCUCCGUGAAGAAGCGGGGAUAUUUAUAUAAGACGAGAAGACCCCAUGGAGCUUUAAACCCAACAGCACCUAUUCUUUUUAUAUCUUCAUAUUCUCCUAGUAAAUGCUUGUUUGGUUUUAGGUUGGGGUGACCACGGAGUAAAAAACAACCUCCACGAAAAAGGAGCUAAUAACUCUUAUCAAAGAAUCACACUUCCAUGAAUUAGUAAACUAAUUUUUAAUGAUCCGAUUUUCGAUCAACGAACCAAGUUACCCUGGGGAUAACAGCGCAAUCCACCUCAAGAGCUCCUAUCGACAGGUGGGUUUACGACCUCGAUGUUGGAUCAGGGCCCCCCAGUGGUGCAGCAGCUACUAAAGGUUCGUUUGUUCAACGAUUAAAGCCCU
Molecule: ribosomal RNA, 530 nt
Filed under: Boophis rhodoscelis
Lineage: Eukaryota; Metazoa; Chordata; Amphibia; Anura; Mantellidae
Description: partial 16S ribosomal RNA
Rfam family: Bacterial large subunit ribosomal RNA
Source: RNAcentral